Molecule: ribosomal RNA, 406 nt
Filed under: uncultured bacterium
Lineage: Bacteria
Description: partial 16S ribosomal RNA
Rfam family: Bacterial small subunit ribosomal RNA
Source: RNAcentral
AUUGAACGCUGGCGGCAGGCCUAACACAUGCAAGUCGAACGAGUGGCGGACGGGUGAGUAAUGUAUGGGAAACUGCCUGAUGGAGGGGGAUAACUACUGGAAACGGUAGAUAAUACCGCAUACCAUCAGAUGUGCCCAGAUUGGAGUAGCUUGUUGGUGGGGUAACGGCUCACCAAGGCGAGGAUCCCUAGCUGGUCUGAGAGGAUGACCAGCCACACUGGAAUUGAGACACUGUCCAGAAUCCUACGGUAGGCAGCAGUGGGGAAUAUUGCCCAAUGGGCGCAAUCCUGAGUCAGCCAGGCCGCGUGUAUGAAGAAGGCCUUCGGGUUGUAAAGUACUUUCAGCGGGGAGGCGUUACCCGCAGAAGAAGCACCGGCUAACUCCGUGCCAGCAGCCGCGGUAAUAC